This 1519-nucleotide long non-coding RNA is filed under the name Lonchura striata (white-rumped munia). RNAcentral's name for it is "domestica (Bengalese finch) lncRNA (ENSLSDG00000017397.1)". Lineage: Eukaryota; Metazoa; Chordata; Aves; Passeriformes; Estrildidae. The record is from RNAcentral.
UGGCGUGACAGCCCCGUGGGGGGCAGCCCGGCAGCCUCCUCCCGGCUGAUGCGCAGUGACAUUUGCAAUCUGUUGCCAUGGGCGCUCGGGGACUUUUGCUGUGGAGGGGGAUCGCGUUUCUCCCCCCUCCUCCUCCUCCUCCUCCCCUUCCCUCCCUCCCGAUGACGUCAUGGAUGACCACGGUGGUGACAGGGCCACCUGUGGGCUGAUGAGGGGUUUAAAGAGACAGUCUGCAGCUGCAACAGGAGCCCUGGCUAUUGUCUCCGCACCUGAGAGCGGGGAGACCUGCAGCCCCCAAACCAGCCAUCCAUCCGCCCGCCCGCCCGCCGCAUCCCGUCCCGUCCGUGUCACCUCAUCCCUGCAUCCCCUGCCUCCACCACUGCAGCUCUCCCGGGACCGUCCCAAGCUGGGUCCCGUAUCCCUUCCCUGUAGCGGCUCCGCCAAGAAACCUCUCCCGGGCUCUGGCGCACUCUGCCUUCAUCUCAGCUUAUCUGCCACAUCUGAAAUCUGAUUUCUACCAUCUGGUGCCCAACCAUCCACCCCCAGCAUGGCCCCAGGACCUUGGGGAGGUGAGUAGCAUCCCUGUUCAACACAAGGGUUUUACCAAAGGGAGAAAUACCUACUGUGGGAGAACCACCUACUGAGGAUUAUGGGGUCAUUGGGAUCACAGCAGGUCACAGCACACUUUCAAAGUUAUUUUGACUUAUCUUUCAAAGAUACUUUGACUUUUUUUCACUUCCAUCUUUGUAUGUGGGGUAAGGAGAAAAAAAUUAUAGCACUGUUCCUUUGCAUCCUGGACUAUCUGGUUUCCCAAGCCUGGUCACUUUGGAAAACAGGGAAAAGCUUUUCUCUUCCUCCCCACACACCAUAAUUUCUUCUGUUGAGGCUUCUUUGUAGUCAUGAGGGUACAGCUAAAACUUUGCACUCUCAAAGAGAUUGCAAACUAUAAAUCCUGGGAAGAACAGGAGGAACACGGAUCGGUUUGUUGUGGACAAGCCAAGAGUGAUCAGACCCACGAGUGGAACAGCAAUGUGUCCGGGGAGGAGCUCUCUGCCAGGCACUUGAGUCUUUCAGCAUAUAAUGCAGGGUGUGAGGGAGAAGAGCAGGCAGUGACACCACCUCCUUAUCCUGCCAGAGCUAGAGGAGAAAUGCAAGCCCAUGUCCCUCACAUCAAGGCUUGAGUUUGCUCCCACUUGUGUUGUGAUAGUGAGCUCACACCUCAUUUACAGGGAGAAAAACAGGGUGGAGUGGCCCAGGAAUAUGAAAUGAACCAUCUCCAAGAGCUGUAAUGCACACUUUCACCAAAAGCACCAGAAAUGAGUAUAAAUUUCUACACAGAGACCUGACAGGACUCCCUAGCAAGAUAUUGUGAGACACUUGAAUGACUCUCAUUAAAGGGAAAUUAAUUAGCUGAACAGCAGGGAUGUAAGCAAGAAAUGCAAAACAUAGAGCAACUGAUUUAAGGAAGAGGUUUACUGACCAAAAGAAAACCAGAAAAUAAAUAUGAAAAAAUAAGUCA